GAGUUUGAUCAUGGCUCAGAACGAACGCUGGCGGCAGGCUUAACACAUGCAAGUCGAACGCCCCGCAAGGGGAGUGGCAGACGGGUGAGUAACGCGUGGGAACGUGCCCAAAGGUACGGAACAACUCCGGGAAACUGGAGCUAAUACCGUAUGUGUCCGUAAGGAGAAAGAUUUAUCGCCUUUGGAUCGGCCCGCGUUGGAUUAGCUAGUUGGUGGGGUAAAAGCCUACCAAGGCGACGAUCCAUAGCUGUUCUGAGAGGAAGAUCAGCCACACUGGGACUGAGACACGGCCCAGACUCCUACGGGAGGCAGCAGUGGGGAAUCUUGGACAAUGGGCGCAAGCCUGAUCCAGCCAUGCCGCGUGAGUGAUGAAGGCCUUAGGGUUGUAAAACUCUUUCGCCGAGGACGAUAAUGACGGUACUCGGAGAAGAAGCUCCGGCUAACUUCGUGCCAGCCGCCGCCGUAAC
RNAcentral lists this ribosomal RNA (467 nucleotides) under uncultured Alphaproteobacteria bacterium. Its description in RNAcentral is "bacterial SSU rRNA". It matches the Rfam family "Bacterial small subunit ribosomal RNA", at positions 9 to 524 of the family's 1533-position model. The record is from RNAcentral. Lineage: Bacteria; Pseudomonadati; Pseudomonadota; Alphaproteobacteria.